GGCUUUCCGCUUUUGGCGCGGCCUUUGUCUCUGGCUGCAGCCGGCGCUUCAGGUCUCGUCUUCACUGGUGUGUGUCCUAUUCUCCUGGAGGCCCAGACUCUGUGGCCCUGUGACCUGCAGGUAUUGGGAGAUCCACAGCUAAAACCCCAGGACCCCCUGGAAGCAUGGAAAUGUCUCCCUCUGAUGCCGAGCCGAAGCUGGACUGUACUGCUGCCAUCUCGGCUCACUGCAACCUCCCUGCCUGAUUCUCCUGCCUCAGCCUGCCCAGUGCCUGCAAUUGCAGGUGCGUGCCGCCAUGCCUGACUGGUUUUCGUGUUUUUUUGGUGAAGACGGGGUUUCGCUGUGUUGGCCAGGCUGGUCUCCAGCUCCUAACCGCGAGUGAUCCGCCAGCCUUGGCCUCCUGAGGUGCCGGGAUUGCAGACAGAGUCUCGUUCACUCAGUGCUCAAUGGUGCCCAGGCUGGAGUGCAGUGGCGUGAUCUCAGCUGGCUACAACCUCCACCUCCCAGCCGCCUGCCUUGGCCUCCCAAAGUACCGAGAUUGCAGCCUCUGCCCGGCCGCCACCCCGUCUGGGAAGUGAGGAGCGUCUCUGCCUGGCCGCCCAUCGUCUGGGAUGUGAGGAGCCCCUCUGCCUGGCAGCCCAGUCUAGAAAGUGAGGAGGGUCUCUGCCCGGCCACCAUCCCAUCUAGGAAGUGACGAGCGCCUCUUCCCGGCCGCCAUCCCAUCUAGGAAGCGAGGAGCGUCUCUGCCCGGCCGCCCAUCGUCUGAGAUGUGGGGAGCGCCUCUGCCCCGCUGCCCCGUCUGGGAUGUGAGGAGUGCCUCUGCCCGGCCGCGACCCCAUCUGGGAGG
Molecule: non-coding RNA, 847 nt
Filed under: Pan troglodytes (chimpanzee)
Lineage: Eukaryota; Metazoa; Chordata; Mammalia; Primates; Hominidae
Source: RNAcentral